RNAcentral lists this ribosomal RNA (254 nucleotides) under uncultured bacterium. RNAcentral's name for it is "partial 16S ribosomal RNA". It matches the Rfam family "Bacterial small subunit ribosomal RNA", at positions 524 to 776 of the family's 1533-position model. The record is from RNAcentral.
UACGUAGGGCGCAAGCGUUAUCCGGAAUUAUUGGGCGUAAAGAGCUCGUAGGCGGUUUGUCGCGUCUGCCGUGAAAGUCCGGGGCUCAACUCCGGAUCUGCGGUGGGUACGGGCAGACUAGAGUGAUGUAGGGGAGACUGGAAUUCCUGGUGUAGCGGUGAAAUGCGCAGAUAUCAGGAAGAACACCCGUGGCUAAGGCGGCUCUCUAGUACGGUACUGACGCUGAGACGCGAAAAGCGUGGGGAGCGAACAGG